AUCAAGAUGUUACUGUUCCAAUGUGGAAAUAUUCUCUCAUAUGCUUGCAGUGCCUAGUUUGCCAGUAGCGGAACCAUCAAUAUUGAUUUUCAUAUGCCAUGAGGAGAUAGCGACUAUAGAUACCAAUUUUUGUUUAGGUAAAUCUCAAUUUUGUUCAAGAUGUCAAUUUGCACAAUUAAGGCUUAUAUUGAGUCUUGUAGGCUUAAUUAUGGUCAUUUUAAGCCUAAUUUUAAAGCCCAAAAUCAAUCUCCAUUACCAUUAGCCCAAAUUCAAUAUCUUUGGACCACAAUCUAUGUGAGGGCUUUUUUUAAAAUUAAUUAAGUCUUAUUUAAUUUUGUUAAAAAAAAAAGUCAGAAGGCAGUGAUAGUGGGUGUCAGUACAACGAGCCUCCAUCGAUACCUAAUCUCCUUCUAGCUCUACCAACCACCCUAACACUGCGAUUCUAAUACAACUAAUAUGUACAGUUGAAGUCCCACUGGCAAUGGGAUUUCAAUCCUUGAAAAUUUAAGAGAUUUGUCUAAAAAAAUGUACAUAAUAAAACUGAGCCAAAAUCAUCAAUUUGGGAUAAGGACAUGGCAAAAGAACCCCAUCCUUGCAACCCUAUUGAAACCAAUUGCAAACCCUCAUUGUCAAGCAACUAAAAAGCCCUAGCAUCCCUGCCAAAAACAAACCCAAUCCCUUGCCAUUCCCACUAAGAAUCAAAGCUAAACCACUAACAAACUAGCCUUCAUAACAUACCACCAAAACCUUACAACUAAAACAACCCAAAAUUCCUAAAAACUUGUCUCCACCCACGCCAACCCCAUUACGUACCACUACAAACCCAAAGGGAAAUCAACAAAAAAACCAUCGAAACCCAUCCUAUCUAGAAUUGAAACCCUCCCACCUUCACACUUUCAGCCAAUAUCCACUAAAAAUCCCAACCCACCAUCAUAAUAAAAAAUCAUCCCAACUGAAAACACCACCCAUCCCUAGUGUCCACCACUGAAACAACACCCAUUACCACUAUGAUUACUCUCCAACUGUUCGGAGGUCCCGGUCUCAAGAACAAGAAUAAAGAACUCGAGCUACCAGUCGCAGGUGAAAAAACUCCUGCAGUCUACGUAGCCUAGGUUGAAUGAAUAAGAUCGGACAAAGUUACUUUCCGUGAAAACUCUAGCCAACCAGCAGAGAAAGCCAUUAAGAUUAACGAGUGAGGAAAGCGUUC
RNAcentral lists this long non-coding RNA (1207 nucleotides) under Durio zibethinus. RNAcentral's name for it is "long non-coding RNA (DZIB_LNC001385)". The record is from RNAcentral. Lineage: Eukaryota; Viridiplantae; Streptophyta; Magnoliopsida; Malvales; Malvaceae.